Molecule: ribosomal RNA, 468 nt
Filed under: uncultured bacterium
Lineage: Bacteria
Description: partial 16S ribosomal RNA
Rfam family: Bacterial small subunit ribosomal RNA
Source: RNAcentral
GACGAACGCUGGCGGCGUGCUUAACACAUGCAAGUCGAACGGAAAGGCCCUGCUUUUGUGGGGUGCUCGAGUGGCGAAGGGGUGAGUAACACGUGAGUAACCUGCCCUUGACGUUGGGAUAACUUCAGGAAACUGGGGCUAAUACCGGAUAGGAGCUCCUGCUGCAUGGUGGGGGUUGGAAAGUUUCGGCGGUUGGGGAUGGACUCGGGGCUUAUCAGCUUGUUGGUGGGGUAGUGGCUUACCAAGGCUUUGACGGGUAGCCGGCCUGAGAGGGUGACCGGGCACAUUGGGACUGAGAUACGGACCAGACUCCUACGGGAGGCAGCAGUGGGGAGUAUUGCACAAUGGGCGGAAGCCUGAUGCAGCAACGCCGCGUGCGGGAUGACGGCCUUCGGGUUGUAAACCGCUUUCGCCUGUGACGAAGCGUGAGUGACGGUAAUGGGUAAAGAAGCACCGGCUAACUACGUG